This 75-nucleotide antisense RNA is filed under the name Micromonospora pallida. RNAcentral describes it as "ASpks TB sRNA". It matches the Rfam family "ASpks TB sRNA". The record is from RNAcentral. Lineage: Bacteria; Bacillati; Actinomycetota; Actinomycetes; Micromonosporales; Micromonosporaceae.
CUUCACCGACCCCAACCACAGCGGCCGGUCCUGCGGACGGUCCUGCCCAUAGGUAGCCAGCACCGCCUGCGCCUC